Molecule: ribosomal RNA, 2925 nt
Filed under: Escherichia coli
Lineage: Bacteria; Pseudomonadati; Pseudomonadota; Gammaproteobacteria; Enterobacterales; Enterobacteriaceae
Description: partial 23S ribosomal RNA
Rfam family: Bacterial large subunit ribosomal RNA
Source: RNAcentral
GGGUUGUGAGGUUAAGCGACUAAGCGUACACGGUGGAUGCCCUGGCAGUCAGAGGCGAUGAAGGACGUGCUAAUCUGCGAUAAGCGUCGGUAAGGUGAUAUGAACCGUUAUAACCGGCGAUUUCCGAAUGGGGAAACCCAGUGUGAUUCGUCACACUAUCAUUAACUGAAUCCAUAGGUUAAUGAGGCGAACCGGGGGAACUGAAACAUCUAAGUACCCCGAGGAAAAGAAAUCAACCGAGAUUCCCCCAGUAGCGGCGAGCGAACGGGGAGCAGCCCAGAGCCUGAAUCAGUGUGUGUGUUAGUGGAAGCGUCUGGAAAGGCGCGCGAUACAGGGUGACAGCCCCGUACACAAAAAUGCACAUGCUGUGAGCUCGAUGAGUAGGGCGGGACACGUGGUAUCCUGUCUGAAUAUGGGGGGACCAUCCUCCAAGGCUAAAUACUCCUGACUGACCGAUAGUGAACCAGUACCGUGAGGGAAAGGCGAAAAGAACCCCGGCGAGGGGAGUGAAAAAGAACCUGAAACCGUGUACGUACAAGCAGUGGGAGCACGCUUCGGCGUGUGACUGCGUACCUUUUGUAUAAUGGGUCAGCGACUUAUAUUCUGUAGCAAGGUUAACCGAAUAGGGGAGCCGAAGGGAAACCGAGUCUUAACUGGGCGUUAAGUUGCAGGGUAUAGACCCGAAACCCGGUGAUCUAGCCAUGGGCAGGUUGAAGGUUGGGUAACACUAACUGGAGGACCGAACCGACUAAUGUUGAAAAAUUAGCGGAUGACUUGUGGCUGGGGGUGAAAGGCCAAUCAAACCGGGAGAUAGCUGGUUCUCCCCGAAAGCUAUUUAGGUAGCGCCUCGUGAAUUCAUCUCCGGGGGUAGAGCACUGUUUCGGCAAGGGGGUCAUCCCGACUUACCAACCCGAUGCAAACUGCGAAUACCGGAGAAUGUUAUCACGGGAGACACACGGCGGGUGCUAACGUCCGUCGUGAAGAGGGAAACAACCCAGACCGCCAGCUAAGGUCCCAAAGUCAUGGUUAAGUGGGAAACGAUGUGGGAAGGCCCAGACAGCCAGGAUGUUGGCUUAGAAGCAGCCAUCAUUUAAAGAAAGCGUAAUAGCUCACUGGUCGAGUCGGCCUGCGCGGAAGAUGUAACGGGGCUAAACCAUGCACCGAAGCUGCGGCAGCGACGCUUAUGCGUUGUUGGGUAGGGGAGCGUUCUGUAAGCCUGUGAAGGUGUGCUGUGAGGCAUGCUGGAGGUAUCAGAAGUGCGAAUGCUGACAUAAGUAACGAUAAAGCGGGUGAAAAGCCCGCUCGCCGGAAGACCAAGGGUUCCUGUCCAACGUUAAUCGGGGCAGGGUGAGUCGACCCCUAAGGCGAGGCCGAAAGGCGUAGUCGAUGGGAAACAGGUUAAUAUUCCUGUACUUGGUGUUACUGCGAAGGGGGGACGGAGAAGGCUAUGUUGGCCGGGCGACGGUUGUCCCGGUUUAAGCGUGUAGGCUGGUUUUCCAGGCAAAUCCGGAAAAUCAAGGCUGAGGCGUGAUGACGAGGCACUACGGUGCUGAAGCAACAAAUGCCCUGCUUCCAGGAAAAGCCUCUAAGCAUCAGGUAACAUCAAAUCGUACCCCAAACCGACACAGGUGGUCAGGUAGAGAAUACCAAGGCGCUUGAGAGAACUCGGGUGAAGGAACUAGGCAAAAUGGUGCCGUAACUUCGGGAGAAGGCACGCUGAUAUGUAGGUGAAGCGACUUGCUCGUGGAGCUGAAAUCAGUCGAAGAUACCAGCUGGCUGCAACUGUUUAUUAAAAACACAGCACUGUGCAAACACGAAAGUGGACGUAUACGGUGUGACGCCUGCCCGGUGCCGGAAGGUUAAUUGAUGGGGUCAGCGCAAGCGAAGCUCUUGAUCGAAGCCCCGGUAAACGGCGGCCGUAACUAUAACGGUCCUAAGGUAGCGAAAUUCCUUGUCGGGUAAGUUCCGACCUGCACGAAUGGCGUAAUGAUGGCCAGGCUGUCUCCACCCGAGACUCAGUGAAAUUGAACUCGCUGUGAAGAUGCAGUGUACCCGCGGCAAGACGGAAAGACCCCGUGAACCUUUACUAUAGCUUGACACUGAACAUUGAGCCUUGAUGUGUAGGAUAGGUGGGAGGCUUGGAAGUGUGGACGCCAGUCUGCAUGGAGCCGACCUUGAAAUACCACCCUUUAAUGUUUGAUGUUCUAACGUUGACCCGUAAUCCGGGUUGCGGACAGUGUCUGGUGGGUAGUUUGACUGGGGCGGUCUCCUCCUAAAGAGUAACGGAGGAGCACGAAGGUUGGCUAAUCCUGGUCGGACAUCAGGAGGUUAGUGCAAUGGCAUAAGCCAGCUUGACUGCGAGCGUGACGGCGCGAGCAGGUGCGAAAGCAGGUCAUAGUGAUCCGGUGGUUCUGAAUGGAAGGGCCAUCGCUCAACGGAUAAAAGGUACUCCGGGGAUAACAGGCUGAUACCGCCCAAGAGUUCAUAUCGACGGCGGUGUUUGGCACCUCGAUGUCGGCUCAUCACAUCCUGGGGCUGAAGUAGGUCCCAAGGGUAUGGCUGUUCGCCAUUUAAAGUGGUACGCGAGCUGGGUUUAGAACGUCGUGAGACAGUUCGGUCCCUAUCUGCCGUGGGCGCUGGAGAACUGAGGGGGGCUGCUCCUAGUACGAGAGGACCGGAGUGGACGCAUCACUGGUGUUCGGGUUGUCAUGCCAAUGGCACUGCCCGGUAGCUAAAUGCGGAAGAGAUAAGUGCUGAAAGCAUCUAAGCACGAAACUUGCCCCGAGAUGAGUUCUCCCUGACCCUUUAAGGGUCCUGAAGGAACGUUGAAGACGACGACGUUGAUAGGCCGGGUGUGUAAGCGCAGCGAUGCGUUGAGCUAACCGGUACUAAUGAACCGUGAGGCUUAACCUUACAACGCCGAAG